Molecule: non-coding RNA, 499 nt
Organism: Chelonoidis abingdonii (Abingdon island giant tortoise)
Lineage: Eukaryota; Metazoa; Chordata; Testudines; Testudinidae
Source: RefSeq, a predicted model, not a curated record
CCUGUUGCCCUGAGUCAUUCUCCAUCUUGGUUGUUGCAGGGGGUUAAAUUGCCUAGUGAUCAUCUUUCCUCUCUCCUUUGAGAAUCAUUUCUUUCUCCUUUAUUUCUGUUAAAAUCUUUGCGAUGAAAGAGAUCAGCCACACAUUUAAUACCCAUCAAAUCCAGAGGCUUCCCCCUGUUUGGGGAUCAGUGGUUCCCAGCUGGUAACAGAGUUGGCUGAACCCUUUUAUUUUCUCCAGCUGGCAUGGGAUGAGGCGGUCCCUCUGAGAGCAAUGUGAGUCCAGAAGUAUCCCAAACCCCAUUACAAAUAGUUUCUGAGGGGUUGCUUCCCGCAGUGUUCAGAUGUUGCCACCUCUGGGGUGGAUCCAUGGUGGCUAUUAUUUACUAGUGACAGGGCAUGGAAAUUUCCUACCUAUUCUCCUGUUAAAGAAGCACCCCCCAGGGCUCCCUCUGCCUGUGUGACUGGCCAGCAGGGGGUGGGUAUUGCUGGGUGCCUGGUG